GAGAUGUUCUGCAACCCUCCCUCUAUCUAUAGAAAUUAAUAAAAUUGGCAAAUGGAAAAAAAUUGUAGACCUGAAAUGUCCCAGCUGACAGUGAAAAUACAGUGAGGGAAAAAAGUAUUUGAUCCAAUGCUGAUUUGAACGUUUGUCCACUGACAAAGAAAUGAUUAGUCUAUAAUUUUAAUGGUAGGUAUAGUUUAACAGUGAGAGACAGAAUAACAAAAAAAAUCCAGAAAAACACGUCAAAAAAGAUAUAAAUUGAUUUGUAUGUCAAUGAGUGAAAUAAGUAUUUGACCCCUUCGACUUAGUAC
Non-coding RNA from Pelobates cultripes (western spadefoot toad), 308 nucleotides. The record is from the annotation of a GenBank genome assembly. Lineage: Eukaryota; Metazoa; Chordata; Amphibia; Anura; Pelobatidae.